Rhododendron vialii is the source of this 628-nucleotide long non-coding RNA. RefSeq lists it as uncharacterized. The transcript is spliced from 2 exons. The record is from RefSeq and is a predicted model, not a curated record. Lineage: Eukaryota; Viridiplantae; Streptophyta; Magnoliopsida; Ericales; Ericaceae.
UGUAUUAAAUGUUUUUAGAGACAUGAAAAUGAAUCUUCUGAGACAAUGUGUAAGAUCUGACCCUUCUUGAUGAGAAACGGCAACAGUACAAGAGCAUGAUUUCAUAGCUGAAUGCUGAGAUUGCUUAGCAGAAUGAAUUAAGAGAAAAGGAAAUGCCACUUGUUCAGGAUGUAGAAGCUAAAGUUAAAGAACUAACCCAGUUUUACUGCGUUGAUCUCUUACAUGACCAUUUUUUUUGAUGUUUUCAUGUUGUAGAAUGAGAAAGCAUUGGCCGCCUAGGAAGAUGCUACCCGCCUGGCCUUCUUCAACAAUGCACAAAAGCACUGCAAUGUGCUCAUGGGACGACUUUCAAAAUCCAAGGGUACUGUUGUCAUGUCCCAAAACAUGCACUCUUCUAACUUGAAAAGCUUUUGGUAAAUUUUGACUUCCUUGAUCUUCUAAGUUAGCUACCUUAAUUUUGUGUGGUAUACAUGACCAAAAUGGUUGAAAAAAGGGGGAGGAAAUGAGUUUGUUACAUCUCUAAGAAUGGAUUAAACUAGCUACUACUAAUUCUAAAUUAAAGAAACAAGUUGCAUCUCUCUAAGGAUUUAGAUGAUUUGAAAAAGGAGAAUGUUGUUUUAAAGGAAAA